Long non-coding RNA from Manacus vitellinus (golden-collared manakin), 1794 nucleotides. RefSeq lists it as uncharacterized. The transcript is spliced from 3 exons. NCBI's taxonomy places the organism in Eukaryota, Metazoa, Chordata, Aves, Passeriformes, Pipridae. The record is from RefSeq and is a predicted model, not a curated record.
CCCCGCGCUCCGUGAGGGGAGGCCGGUCUCGCAGCGGGGGAGACCCCCAGGGGUGGGUGCUCCCGGAAAAUGUGGCUAAAGGAGGAGCAAAAGGCCGCAAAAUCAGAGAGGUGAUAAUCCCAAAAUCGCACCACUGGGACUAUGGCGAUAGUCCCAAAAUGUGGCAGCAUUCCUGUCAGUCACAGCAUCUCAAGAGCUGCAAACCCAACAGGAAGAAGAUAGACAGGAGAACCUCAGGAAAGAUACAGCCUGACUGCUGGGAGUCCAGUUGUUAAUGGGGGGAAGGAGGAGACUGAAAUUCACUAAUGAAUUAUCUGCUCUGUCUGAAAAGAAAUGGAGACGUUGCUUCAGGUUGGGAAGCCAUGCUUCAAAGUCUCUCUGCUCAGCUGCAGAGUGGAGAUAUCUGGGAAUGCCCAAGGUACCAGGCCAGUGCUGGACCUCUUUGCACAGCCGAAACCUUUGAAUUCACCUGCAAGCAGAGGUGCCACGUUUCAGCACUUCAGGAGAGUUGAUCUAGAAAGUGGUAUUAAAGGGAAGAGUGAGAGUAGCCGCCUGUGUGUGUGGUGUCCUUCACUUUAAUUAGGUUAGUUUCUUUCAUGGCAAGUGCUGUCAUACCAAGCUGAAAAAUCAAUACCAUAUGGCACAGCACUCAGAGAGCAAACUUGGAAAUUAAUUAAAGACGAAGUACUUCUGUUAGGUCUCAUAGCAUAGCGCCUACAAUUAGGCAUGGCUGAACUGGUUUGGAAACACGAAGGCUGGGCAACACCUUCACCCAGAGCUGAGCUGGACACUCUACCACUCUGGGGUCAGAAUAAACUGUAAUCUCCCUUUCUUUAUUCCCAAUGGAGAUAUAUUAGAAACAUUGAAAUCACUGUUUUACAUGUUUUCCUGGAUUUUCCUGUGUCUCACUUCCAGCUUGCUGCAGGCCAGGGCAGGGAAGGGAAUCAUUUGUUCUGGGAGGCUUCUGCUUGGCAAGUUGCUGGGUGUGAACACAGAGAAGGUGCUUCCUGGGGGCUCACUGUGCUCCUGGGCUUGGAGCUGGCAAAGCUGUGGGAGGCAGCAGAAAGAAGAAAAUACACAUUGGUUCAGAUGUUGUGACAAUGAACACUGGAUGGACACUUAGAGAAGGGUGAUUUGGAGGCUGGGUGGGCAGAGGUGUCUGGGGGACAAAGAAGGCUGUGUGGUGGGGGAGAGGUGAGGCAGGGAAAAAAAUCAGCCUUCAAGUCAUCAGAGGAGCAACCAGUUCUCACAGGGACCAUUUGCAGCCCAGGCACUUUCCCAUCACUCCUUUACCACCUGGGACCAGUGACUUCUAAGCAAACCUAGUUGGCCCUGAGCUUUUCCAACACCCCUUGCAGUCACAGGCUGUAGCUGGGGCUCUUGGAGUGGUGAGGUAUGCCCUAUUCCCCAGCACAUUAGUGAAUAUCUGAGGACCAGCUAUAUCAGGUUUUCCUAUGGAAGCAAAAGGUGUGUCUGCCACAGACUGGGGUAUUUUACGAUGUUACAUCCAAAGUGAGUGCAGAGAAGCAGCAAUACCCGUGGAACCUUGAUAAGUUGCCUGCACUAGGAUCCAGCAAAAUUUGGCUCCCUGCUCUGCCCCUGUCCUGCUGCCUGGACAUGGGCAAGUCCCUUCCUUUCCCUCUGCCCAUUCCAUAUAGUGUACAGGGCAGAUGCCCAUCACUGCUGACAUCCUCCAGGCUAAAGCACAGUAAGAUCCCCCACACCUCUAUAUCUAGAUAGGUACUCUCAUGGGACCAAAAAAUUUUCUGCUCUCUCAAAUGUAAAAGAAACCUG